RNAcentral lists this ribosomal RNA (492 nucleotides) under uncultured bacterium. Its description in RNAcentral is "partial 16S ribosomal RNA". It matches the Rfam family "Bacterial small subunit ribosomal RNA", at positions 29 to 507 of the family's 1533-position model. The record is from RNAcentral.
AGUGAACGCUGGCGGUAGGCCUAACACAUGCAAGUCGAACGGCCGCACAGUAAGCUCUUUCUCUUACGGUUGGCGAGUGGCGGACGGGUGACGCGUACAUCGCAAUCUACUUUUUCUUGGGGGAUAACGUAGGGCCACUUACGCUAAUACCUCAUACGACCUACGGGUUAAAUCAGUGGAUCUUCGGACCUUUCGCGUUUGUUUUAGCUGAUGUCGGAUUAGCUAGUUGGCGAGGUAAAGUCCCACCAAGGCGACGAUCCGUAGCUGGUCUGAGAGGAUGAUCAGCCACACUGGAACUGAGACACGGUCCAGACUCCUACGGGAGGCAGCAGUAGGGAAUAUUGGACAAUGGGCGAAAGCCUGAUCCAGCAAUACCGCGUGGGUGAAGAAGGCCUUCGGGUUGUAAAGCCCUUUUGUUGGGAAAGAAAAGAAGCAGGUGAAUACCCCGAUGUUCUGACGGUACCCAAAGAAUAAGCACCGGCUAACUUCGUG